AAUAGAGAUGAUGGGAGUUGUAGUCCAGCAACUGCUGGGGACCCAAGAUGGGGAAUGGCUGCCCUAAGAUGGUAGCCCCCAGCAGGGCCGUCAGCAGCGAGCCUACUGCUGCUGCUUUGCCCCCAGUCUGCAGCUUCUAGGCGCACAAGGCAUCUCAAGAGGCCGGCUCUGUUUGCUGAGCUCUCUCGAGCAAGCAUGUCAGUGGAUUCCACAAGAGCUUGCAGGCCAGGUCCCGCAGAGUCAUCUGCAUGCUGCACCCUGGGCUUUUGGGGGGAUGCUGUUGACCUGCUGUGCCCCCCCUGCCCCCCACCAGGAGCGACAUCUUCAAAGGAAACCAAGCAGAUUAAGUACCAUGGCCUGGGAAGAACCCAAACCAUUGGCUUUUAAGGUCUAGAAGUCCUUGAAACCAGCUUAAUGUAUAUUCUAUUAGGGAUCUUCCAGAGAUGCUGGAUAACACCACUUGCCUUUAACAUUUUUUUAAAUUAAUAUUAAGCAGCUUAGAUGUGGUUCACUUUGAAGUGGGGGGAAAAUAGGUGUAAGGUUUAAAAUGCUUUCAUUUUAGUUCACUGGUGGAGCCCUGGGGGAAAGAAACACUCUACAGAAAGGCUGUAAAAGAAAUCCUCCUCCCUUUUUUUCCUUACAGUAUCCCCAUGCUGGGGAAAGCUGCUGCACCUGGUGAGUUUCUGCUUCCCUGUGCUGGGGAAAGCUGCUGCACCUGCUGAGUUUCUGCUUGCCUAUGCCAGGGAAAGCUGCUGCAUCUGUUUUCUUUGUACCAAACUCCUCAUCUUAGAGAAAUUUCCUCUUCUGAAGUUCAACGUGUCUGCUUUAGACUUCCUUGGCGAUUCUCUCCUCGCAUAUAUGCUGAAUUGGAUCACAGGAUGGUCACUGUUCCCUAAAGCUUCCACGACAUUGACAUCUCGCACCAGGUCCUGUGCACCACUCAGGAUUAAAUACAUUCCAAAUAAAUAUGCUAUGAUUGAGCUUGAGCUCAUAAAACCA
Molecule: long non-coding RNA, 999 nt
Organism: Hemicordylus capensis (graceful crag lizard)
Lineage: Eukaryota; Metazoa; Chordata; Lepidosauria; Squamata; Cordylidae
Exons: 2
Source: RefSeq, a predicted model, not a curated record